CACGUAGGGCGCAAGCGUUGUCCGGAAUUAUUGGGCGUAAAGAGCUCGUAGGCGGUUUGUCGCGUCGAAUGUGAAAACCCGGGGCUCAACCCCGGGCCUGCAUUCGAUACGGGCAGACUAGAGUUCGGUAGGGGAGUCUGGAAUUCCUGGUGUAGCGGUGAAAUGCGCAGAUAUCAGGAGGAACACCGGUGGCGAAGGCGGGACUCUGGGCCGAUACUGACGCUGAGGAGCGAAAGCGUGGGGAGCGAACAGG
This 253-nucleotide ribosomal RNA is filed under the name uncultured bacterium. Its description in RNAcentral is "partial 16S ribosomal RNA". It matches the Rfam family "Bacterial small subunit ribosomal RNA", at positions 524 to 776 of the family's 1533-position model. The record is from RNAcentral.